Molecule: ribosomal RNA, 253 nt
Filed under: uncultured bacterium
Lineage: Bacteria
Description: partial 16S ribosomal RNA
Rfam family: Bacterial small subunit ribosomal RNA
Source: RNAcentral
UACGAAGGGUGCAAGCGUUACUCGGAAUUACUGGGCGUAAAGCGUGCGUAGGUGGUUUGUUAAGUCUGAUGUGAAAGCCCUGGGCUUAACCUGGGAACUGCGUUUGAAACUGGGAGACUUGAGUGUGGCAGAGGGGGGUGGAAUUCCACGUGUAGCAGUGAAAUGCGUAGAUAUGUGGAGGAACACCGAUGGCGAAGGCAGCCCCCUGGGUUAACACUGACGCUCAUGCACGAAAGCGUGGGGAGCAAACAGG